Molecule: long non-coding RNA, 2607 nt
Filed under: Homo sapiens (human)
Lineage: Eukaryota; Metazoa; Chordata; Mammalia; Primates; Hominidae
Description: endogenous retrovirus group K13 member 1
Source: RNAcentral
GGGCACAGCGUGAGGGCCGCCGUUGCUGGAGUUCAGCUUAGGGAAGGAGGACUCUGAGGAGGCCCCGAGCGGCGGAGCGCUUCGGGGGAGGCGCCCGCGCAGACGCGAGGCCCAUAGCCAGGACCACCACCUAGCUGUUCUACAGUCUGGGGACGACGGUUUAAAAAUUUAUGCCUUGCAUGCGAUGUGCAGUGGGUGAUGGAAGAACGUCUACAUGGCUUUAAAAUUGGAUUUAAAAGGCAAAUAUUUUAAAUGAAGGAAAACCCAAGAAGUUUACUUGAUUCCUUAUCUUCCAGGAUGCGACUUUUGUUUAUUUAUUUAUUUUAUUUUGAUGGAGUCUCGCUGCCGUCGCGCAGGCUGGAGUGCAGUGACGCGAUCUUGACCCGGGAACCUCCACCUCCCGGGUUCAAGCGAUUCUCCUUCCUCAACCACCCGAGUAGCUGGGAUUACAGGCGUGUGCCACCAUGCCCGGCUAAUUUUUGUGUUUUUAGUAGAGACCGGGGAAGGUAUGGGCCCUCUUUUGAGAAAAAUGCAGAGUGACACUGAAUUUUGUAACUACAUCAGGAGGCUCUUGAACCUUCUGCAGCUCACUCGUGGAGUUUGUAGAGAUGCGUAAUAAUCCGAAGUGUUAAGGAAGAAGGUUCUGUUGAGAAAAAGUUGGAGGGCUGAAAGGGAUGCCUUUCGCUAUUUCGACAUGUGUGGCUGUACCCCAGAGUGCCCUGGCUAACACGCAAAACCAUGAAUUAGGCGGCUUGGCGAGGCUCAGUGGAGGCUGGGGCCGAGAGUCAUGUCAAAGUUUGUGGGGUUAACCUGCACCCAGUGACAGUCAUGGCGAAGUUUGUGAGGUUAACUCGCACCCAGUAACGCUGUUCCAAUGCAAGGUGUGUAUUUGGUGUCAUCCACGGGAAGAGGAAACAGCAAAUUUUCUCAUGGCCUUGGCAGUUCCACAUGAUGGACAUUUCAUAUCUGCAGUUUUCUUCGCAUGAGAUGGCUUUUUUGCACAAAAACACUGGAAUCCAGUGAGCAAGAAUGAUAGAAUGCAAGAUGGAUUUCCACAUGAGGAAGUGUCACGAACAAGCGUUUUGCAUCUCUGUCAGCUGGAUUCCCCCAUGUGGAGAGACCCACCGACCCUGUGGGGCUGGUCCCUACAUCUGGCGCUCUGACGUGGGGCUCUCCCUCGCUGUGUGAAGUUGCACCCUGAGUGCGGGAUCAGCGGAGGAGUUCAACGAGAGAUUCCUGAGGAUUGCAGUCUAUAAACUUGGUGGAAAAGAACUACAGCCUGUGUGGGUCCCCUCCCGACAAUUAAAAUUGCACCAUAACUCCAAAGAUGAAACGCUCCCAGAAAGAAAAGGCAAAGACCCAUCGGAAACAAAAGAGCAACUUUCACCGCCUGAUACAUACACUUCAUGACAUCCACAUUGAGACAAAAUCUCGCCGUGUGACCUACAACACCUCUCGUUCAACCCCACCUACUUGGGGUCGAAUACAGAUUUUAUCUCAUCAAACAGAAAAAUUCUUAACAGAAAAAGGAAUCCCAAAAAUGACUGGUAAUAUAAUUCUGGCUGCCUUUAUGGUAGUCAGUGCAGCGUCUGCAGAUGCCUCUAAGGAGUCCGAAACCAAGUCCGAAGUCAACAACAAGCAAUGAUGGCGAUGGCGAUUCUAGUUAAUAAAAAGGGGGGAGAUGUGGGCGGCAAGCCACCCAGGCACCGAGGCAAGAGACAGAGGACACGAGCUGUUCCAGUAUAAUAAAAUAUAAAACAAGAAUAGUUAUACCAGAUAUAGAUCUUAGAUAUGAUUAUAUACGAAUAUCAUUAAUCAUGAGUUUGUAGCAAUUACUUUUUAUUCCAAUAUUAUGAUAAUCCUCGCUCUAUAAUCAUAGCCUAGGAAAAACCAGGCCAUACAGAGAUAGGAGCUGAGGGGACAUAGUGAAGUGUGACCAGAAGACAAGAGUGCGAGCCUUCUGUUAUGCCCGGACAGGGCCACCAGAGGGCUCCUUGGUCUAGCGGUGACGCCAGCGUCUGGGAAGACACCCGUUACCAGGCGGAUCGUGGCCCAGCCGUAGCAAAAGGUGUCAAGGAACACCUUUUGCAAAAGGUGUCAACACCCGCUACUUAGCAGACUGGGAAAGGGGGGCGGUCUCCCUUUCCCCGGGGGAGUUUAGAGAAGACUCUGUUCCUCCACCUCUUGUGGAGGGCCUGACAUCAGUCAGGCUUGCCCGUAGUUAUCCGGAGGCCUAACUGUCUCCCUGUGAUGCUGUGCUUCAGUGGUCACGCUCCUAGUCUGCCUUCAUUUUCCAUCCUGUACACCUGGCUCUGCCUUCUAGAUAGCAGUAGUAAAUUAGUGAAAAUACUAAUAGUCCCUGAUAUGCAGAAAUAAUGGCAUAAGCUGUCUUUCUCUCUGUCUCCUCUCCCUCUCUGCCUCGGCUGCCAGGCAGGGAAGGGCCCCCUGUCCAGUGGACACAUGACCCAUGUGACCUUACCUAUCAUUGGAGGUGACUCACAUUCUUUACCCUGCCCCUUCUGCCUUGUAUCCAAUAACAGCGCAGUCAGACAUUCAGGGCCACUACCGGUCUCCGCACAUUGGUGGUAGUGGUCCCCCGGGCCCAGC